Molecule: non-coding RNA, 91 nt
Organism: Pyrenophora teres f. teres 0-1
Lineage: Eukaryota; Fungi; Ascomycota; Dothideomycetes; Pleosporales; Pleosporaceae
Source: Rfam
GAAUGAUGAGACACAAGCUGGCACCAGUCUGAGAAGACUUGUACUCUUUGCAUGCGGAUCAGCUGCUUAGACUUUUAAGUCGCCUUCUGAC